This is a non-coding RNA of Styela clava, 300 nucleotides long. NCBI's taxonomy places the organism in Eukaryota, Metazoa, Chordata, Ascidiacea, Stolidobranchia, Styelidae. The record is from RefSeq and is a predicted model, not a curated record.
UUCGACGAAACCAUCGCUCAGUUUGUGGCUGAAAUAGAGGUUGACAAUCCAGAUAGCAGUCUCCUGCAAGAAGAGUCGGAGGGCGAGUUGCAACAGGACCUGCCGCAAGUUGAUGAAAGUGUCAGCCAUGCUCCACCAACUUCAAGCCAGCGAGGCAGGAGGAGACAGAGUAGUAGAGAAAAUUAUGAUUCCAGAACUGAAGCUCUGUUGAGAGUAUUUAGGGAAGAAUCUGAAAAGGAUAGGCUUGCCUUUGCAUCAGCUUUGGAGAAUUUGACAAAUAAAAUAUUGGAGAAACUGUAA